Molecule: ribosomal RNA, 509 nt
Filed under: uncultured Pelotomaculum sp.
Lineage: Bacteria; Bacillati; Bacillota; Clostridia; Eubacteriales; Desulfotomaculaceae
Description: bacterial SSU rRNA
Rfam family: Bacterial small subunit ribosomal RNA
Source: RNAcentral
UAACGCUGGCCCCGUGCUUAACACAUGCAAAGCGAACGGUUCAGUAGCCAGUAGCCCGUAGUCAGUAGUCAGAUUCAAGAAGGAAUUCGCAAAGCGAAUUCCAACAAGCAAUCUGACAACCGAUUACCGACUACUGACUACCGAAUAGUGGCGGACGGGUGAGUAACGCGUGGAUAACCUGCCUGACUGACCGGGACAACUCCGGGAAACUGGUGCUAAUACCGGAUACGCUCUUGGGGGCACAUGCUUUUGAGAGGGAAGGAGGGAUCCGCAGACAGAUAAGUCCGCGUCCCAUUAGCUAGUUGGGGGUGUAAGAGACCACCAAGGCGACGAUGGGUAGCCGGCCUGAGAGGGUGGACGGCCACACUGGAACUGAGACAAAGUCCAGACUCCUACGGGAGGCAGCAGUGGGGAAUCUUCCGCAAUGGGCCAAAGCCUGACGGAGCAACGCCGCGUGAGUGAAGAAGGCCUUCGGGUCGUUUUACUCUGUCUUCAGGGAAGAAGGAAAU